AUUGAACGCUGGCGGCAUGCCUUACACAUGCAAGUCGAACGGUAACAGGUCUUCGGAUGCUGACGAGUGGCGAACGGGUGAGUAAUACAUCGGAACGUGCCUAGUAGUGGGGGAUAACUACGAGAAAGAGUGGCUAAUACCGCAUGAGAUCUACGGAUGAAAGCAGGGGAUCGCAAGACCUUGUGAUACUAGAAGGGUCGAUGGCAGAUUAGGUAGUUGGUGGGAUAAAAGCUUCCCAAGCCGACGAUCUGUACCUGGUCUGAGAGUGCGAUCACCCACACGGGGACUGAUACACGGCCCAGACUCCUACGGGAGGCAGCAGUGGGGAAUUUUGGACAAUGGGCGCAAGCCUGAUCCAGCAAUGCCGCGUGCAGGAGGAAGGCCUUCGGGUUUUAAACUGCUUUUGUACGGAACGAAAAGCCCUGGGUUAAUACCCUGGGGUCAUGACGGUACCGUAAGAAUAAGCACCGGCUAACUACGUGCCAGCAGCCGCCGUAA
This 498-nucleotide ribosomal RNA is filed under the name uncultured bacterium. Its description in RNAcentral is "partial 16S ribosomal RNA". It matches the Rfam family "Bacterial small subunit ribosomal RNA", at positions 30 to 523 of the family's 1533-position model. The record is from RNAcentral.